GUUAGGAAUAUUGGACAAUGGGCGCAAGCCUGAUCCAGCCAUGCCGCGUGAGUGAUGAAGGCCUUCGGGUUGUAAAGCUCUUUAGUCCACGAAUAUAAUGACUGUAGUGGAAGAAUAAGCCCCGGCUAACUUCGUGCCAGCAGCCGCGGUAAUACGAAGGGGGCGAGCGUUAUUCGGAAUCACUGGGCGUAAAGCGUGCGUAGGCUGUUUUGUAAGUCAGAAGUGAAAGCCCAGGGCUUAACCCUGGAAUUGCUUUUGAAACUACAAGACUCGAAUUCGGGAGAGGAUAGCGGAAUUGUCAGUGUAGCAGUGAAAUGCGUAGAUAUUGACAGGAACACCAGUGGCGCAAGCGGCUAUCUGGACGAGUAUUGACGCUGAGGCACGAAAGCGUGGGGAGCAAACAGGAUUAGAAACCCCAGUAGUCC
RNAcentral lists this ribosomal RNA (425 nucleotides) under uncultured bacterium. Its description in RNAcentral is "partial 16S ribosomal RNA". It matches the Rfam family "Bacterial small subunit ribosomal RNA", at positions 354 to 796 of the family's 1533-position model. The record is from RNAcentral.